Long non-coding RNA from Chinchilla lanigera (long-tailed chinchilla), 5177 nucleotides. The record is from Ensembl. Lineage: Eukaryota; Metazoa; Chordata; Mammalia; Rodentia; Chinchillidae.
CCCGAAUUAAAAAUAGGAAUUAUAGCUGCUUAAUAGAAAAGGAUCAUAGGAAAUGCUGUGCUGUUUUCAGUGUACAUUUGUAGUCAAUGCAAUGCCUGUGUGACUUAGUGCGUUGAAAUUCUUAAAACAUCGUGUGUUGAAAGAAGGCUUGCAUCUAGCUAUCAUGCAUUUAAAUUUAGUGCAGGCUCUUGUUUUAAGGAGUUUUAUGUGGUUAAAUUGACAUUGCUUAAUAAACGAUUGAAUAAGUUAAGCAUAACUUAGAAGUCAUUUAGAAGUAUGAGUCAUUUUCCUGACAAGCCAAUAAGGUAAGAGAACCAAAGUUGCAAAACAAUUACUAGCCUAGCCGAGGGACCCUGGAAAUAUAUUACGGGUAUCAGUUAAGAAAACAAAGCAGCAGUGUUUUGCCAUGCUGCAAAGAACAAGCUAAGGUUGCUAACCAGACCAAGUAACUGCACUGACAAUGCCAAUUUUUACAUUUGUUUCAGAACAAGGGCCGCUCAAACCACCGGAGAAACGAGCCAAUGGACUCCGAAGAACUCCCAGACAGGUGGAUCCAGGUUUGCCAAAAAUGCAGGUCAUUAGGAACUAUACUGGAACACCACCCCCAGCUCUUCAUGAAGGACCCCCGCUACAUAUCCAGGCAGGGGAUACUGUUGAACUUCUGAGAGGAGACGCACACAGUGUGUUUUGGCAGGGUAGAAAUUUAGCAUCAGGAGAGGUUGGAUUUUUCCCAAGUGAUGCUGUUAAGCCUUCCCCAUGUGUACCCAAACCAGUAGAUUAUUCUUGCCAACCCUGGUAUGCUGGAGCAAUGGAAAGAUUACAGGCAGAGACCGAACUUAUUAACAGGGUAAAUAGUACUUACCUUGUGAGGCACAGGACCAAAGAGUCAGGAGAAUAUGCAAUUAGCAUUAAGUACAAUAAUGAAGCAAAGCAUAUCAAGAUUUUAACAAGAGAUGGCUUUUUUCACAUAGCAGAAAAUAGAAAAUUUAAAAGUUUAAUGAUUCUGCACUAUUGAUGGCCUUGGUGUCAUGACAGAUUCAAAUACCAACUUGCAGUUAUUUGUGUGGGUUUUAGCUUGUGUUUGAAUGAUACCCUGCAAAUGCUUAAUGUGCCCUUUUUCUUUCUUCAUUUGCUUUUAUUUGCUCAUUUGGCCAGAGGAAGGUGUUAUAAAUCAUGACAGAAAGAGCUACCAUUAAUAAAAUGCCUCUCUUGUUUAGUUUCAUUUCAUAAAAAUGCAAUAGGAAGUCAGAGUGAGAGGUUUUCUUUUAUAUUUUCUGCUAUUCUAAAUUGUGCAUUUAUUCAUUACCUUGGACAAUUAAACAUAGUUUACUUGUUUUUCACACGACAGUCACUAUUUAAUAGAAAUUUUAUAUGUAAGUGGAAGUAGUAUAGUUUUAUAGAUUGCUUCAAAUGAGCAGCAAUCGCCUGAUUAAUUCCUGUAAUUUUUUAAAGAGGUGGUUGGACAGAGGAAGGAGGGAAGGGAAAGGGGGUAAAUAAAGGAAUUCAGGCAUGUAAUGUACCCAGUUCACACGAGGAAUGUAAACAUUAUGUACUGUAUCCAUGUAUUAGUAACAUAAAAUUUUUUUUAAAAGAAGCUGAAUAAACUGUGGCUGUCACUUGAUAUUGAAAAGCUAUACUUUAAUAGUUUGAUUAACAUAGAAAAAUGUUCUGUGUGUCGUGAAUAAUGCAUAUAUCUCCUGUAUGCUAACCAUGCACAUAUGUUAUAUAUGCUAAUAAUAAGAAAGAUUUCAUAUUUUCUUAAAGGUGGUCUCGUGUGUUUCUCAAGUUUGGUAGUUUCAUGAGAUAAUAAAGGAAUUUGGAUAUAAGACAUAAGAUGUAUUUGCAGCUGCUAAGUCCCUUGAAUAAUCCUGGAAAGGACCACUCAUUGACUAAGCAUCAACCAAGGGCCAGGGAUGUAGCUCAGCAGUGCAGUGCCUGCCUGGCAAGUGCAAGGUCCUGGGUUCAAUUCCCGGUACCAAAAAAGCAACAAAGCAACAAAAGUCAAUCAAAAGAUGCACAUUGCAUCUUUCUAGAAAACAUCAGAAAGCACUUUGCAGAUGUUAACAUGAAAUUUAAAGUUGAGUGUAAGAAAGCCUUGCAAAAUAGACCAGCUUGAAUGCCUUACUAAAAACUGAGCACUGUGUAAAGACAAGGAUCUGUUUGUUUUUUUUUUAAAGGAAGCAUUUUCAGUUGAAAGAAAAAGAAGAAAAUCUCUGUAGACAUAAAUAUAACAUUUCUAGUUCAAAAGCUAAGGAAAGGCAGCAUGGCCAUGUCCUGGAAAGUGUAAACUCUGUCAAAUUGGAAACCAAGAUCCAGGCGUUCUCCCUGCUGGAAGUAACUCAUGUUCCGUUGGAACAAGCGGGCUGUGCAGAGAGAACUCAGCCAGAGGAGGUUCUUCAUGAAAUGAGAACCUAGCAGAGAGGUGGCAGGUGGAGGCACAAAUAAUGAACAACAGGCACAGCUGGGACGUGGUGACAGCAUGCUCGGGGACUCCGCGUAUCUCUGUAAGACCCGCCAGUCUGAGCUUUCCCCUGCAGAGCUUCCUGGGACAGUAAUGAGGCUGCUCCACAGUAUUAUAAUUAAUACGGCACUUUAAAAAAUGCCACAGGGCCAAAGAUGACUUCCAGCCUCUUGGCCUUUGAAAGUAAGCGAAAGGAAGUCCCAUUGGAGGAGACGCGUGCAGAGGAUGAAAGGGACAGCCACUGGAAAGGGCCAAUCAGUUCAGCUGUGUGUCACCUUGGCUCCUCUCAAGGAAGUUCUUUCGCAGCAAGGGUUAGAUGUGGAAAGCCAGAAAUACCGCAGCGACCUGGACUGGCAGACAUAGACUCUUGAGUUUCUGUCUGUACAUACGUCUGUGAUUAUAGCUAAAGCAAUCAAACCCUGAUUCAAAUCAUUUGUACAAGACCACAUUACUGUGUACUAAUGUACCGAUGUUCUGGAGAGGGAAGUAAGGGUACUUGUCUCAGGCUUCAAAUAAGCUCCCCUUAUAAAAUGUAGGUAAAAUGCCAAAAAGGCUACAGAUGCAUGCACACUUUCCCCCUUCAUAUCAUGGGAUGUUUUGUAGGAGAACCUGUACUUCACUGAGUUACGGGGGGGAUGAACAGCAAAACUACAGUGAGACUAGAAAACACUAGCAAAUAUGUGUAGUCGUGAGAAUGAAAGAGUGACAAGGAGCUGGAAACCUCGGUCUCAGAAAAGUCCUUUCUCAGAUUUAGAAAAUAACUAUUAAAACCAAUGAAGAAGCAGUUCUUGAUCAUUAUUUUUGUUUCUAUUUAAUUAUUGAACACAUUUUUAUUGAGUCUUUUCUAUGCAAAAUCACUGAUACUAGUGAAUACAAAUAUACCAAGAACCUCAACAUGGUUCUGUCUGAAGGAUGGUUCGUAUUUCAGUAACGGGCCCCUUUGAAAGGCAAAAAGGUUACAAGGUACAAGCGCUCCUUAAAAUCAGAAUCAGACAACCUCUAGGAGAUGCCUUCUUUAUUACUGGCAUCAAAUACCACAGUUUGCAUUACCAGUCAGUAUGGUUUGUAGGUUUGAGUUGUUUCUUAAGAAUCGUUUUUUAUCCAGCUAUCACUGAUGUUAAAGUUAGAUUUCUCUGCCUAUGAAUCAGAAUAGGGCAUGGAAUUAAAUUUUUAUCUGGAAAGGAUAUAAAACACAAGCAAACGCUGGAGUUUAUUUUAAAUUCUCCAACUUAUCAAAGAGAAGAUUGGCCUUAGGUGUUUGGAACUGAACUUUGUUCCCUUGGGUUUCAAUAGCUUAGUUCAUCAAAAUUUUUGUUUUUCUUAGUCAUUAAAUUCAAAUCCUAAAUGAAUUUCUGUAUCCAGAUUACAAGGCAUUAAUUUUGUUCUAAUUUUCAUGUAUGCCAGACAAUCCAUGUCCAAAUGCUGUUUAUAAACCAUCUCCGUUGCCUGUUUCCUAGGUAAUUGGAAUGACUAGCUCUCACUCAUUAUUUUUCAGAGAGACUUGAAUUGUUGACACUGCUGUGUCAGUGUGAGAUAAGGAAAGCUUAGCAAUUUCUUUUGUUUAGUCUUCUUAUUUACUUGUUGUACCUGAAGGUCAAUGACUGCUAAAGCAGGGGUGGAUUAGACUGAAAUACAGAAAGCAUAAAGGCAUGAACUGGAAAAGCUCCAUGGUGGCACUAUUUAAUGCUAUGCAGAAACCUGUAGGAAGAUAUACCCUUCUAAGACUGUAAAAGUGGAACUAAAUUAUCUUCCAUGCUUAGCGAAGUGUUAAAGAGUGUUUUGCAGUUUACUAAGCUACAUGACCAUAGGCUUUGAAAGAAUGAUAUUUUUCUUCUGUAAAAUUUUGGAGGAGUAGUAAAUGAUGACCAGAUUCUGCAGCAGAACAGUGCUUUGAUAGUUUCUAGCCAACUUCACAUAAACAUUAAUUAAUUAUAAUUCAUAACAAAAUUUGACUUUUAAUGAAAUUAAAUUAAAGUUAAAGCUAUUGGCACGUAAUUCAUUUCAGGCUUAUUUUCAUAUUGCCAAAGAAAGUAACAAAUUUUAUGGAAUUUAAGUAUCAAAACUAAGAGAAAAACUCUUCGAUUUAAUUUGCAUUAAGAACAUAAUAUGUACAUGUACUUUCUUCCAGAGACCUUACAAGUUUCAUUCUUUUAAAAAUUAAUAGCAAUUCUGAUCACUAAGAGCCAUUUAAUUCCUGACCUAGCCUUUGCAAACUACAUAUUAAAAAUCAGCAUAAUACAAAUGCUGUAUUCUAAUUGUUGAUACUAUUUUGAAAAUACAAACUUCCAUCUAGUCUAGUGGUUUUUUUUUUUCUUUGUCCUUAAAGUUGGUCAGAUUCUGCAUUCCUUUGUUUCAGAAAGCACCCCCAUUAGCUAGGCCCAAGAAAGGAAGGAAGGAAGGAAGGAAGGAAGGAAUAUUUUCUGAAAAUUAAAAAUGUAAUGUAUGUAAAACCUUAGCAUCUUAAAUCUGAGAAAACAAAGUUCCAGGCAUGUCACAGACAACUAGCAAACUCCGUUUCCCUUGGCUUGUCUGUGUGUGUGUGUUUACAUUUUUCAGGUACUCUUUGUUAAUAAGCCCAAAUAGUUAAAGGCAUGGACUUUGGAGCCGUAUCAGCUGUGUGAUCUCCCACACGCUGCUUAGCCUGAGAUCUUUGCGUUCAUGGGGAUGAUGACUGUCUCAUAAGGUUCCCGAGUAAGGGUUAUGACAAAGAAUAAUC